UACGUAGGGUGCAAGCGUUAAUCGGAAUUACUGGGCGUAAAGCGUGCGCAGGCGGUUAUGUAAGACAGGUGUGAAAUCCCCGGGCUUAACCUGGGAACUGCAUUUGAGACUGCAUAGCUAGAGUACGGUAGAGGGGGAUGGAACUCCGCGUGUAGCAGUGAAAUGCGUAGAUAUGCGGAGGAACACCGAUGGCGAAGGCAAUCCCUGGACCUGUACUGACGCUCAUGCACGAAAGCGUGGGGAGCAAACAGG
Molecule: ribosomal RNA, 252 nt
Filed under: uncultured bacterium
Lineage: Bacteria
Description: partial 16S ribosomal RNA
Rfam family: Bacterial small subunit ribosomal RNA
Source: RNAcentral